ACUCAGUCCUGCCUCAAAGAAGGGAGGAAGGAUGUCACCUUGUCCUGGGCAAGUUAUUGGGCAAGACCAGGCAGCUCCAGUGCUAAUUUAAUGCUGGGAAGAGAGUCGGGGAACCUGCAGCUCUGGCCAGCUUUCCCCCAAGGAAUCCCAGCCCUACCAGCCUCCUCCCUGUCUCUGGCACAUACCAGUUCACAGCCAGAUCAGUAGAGCAGAGGUGUACAAUGGGGAGGCUCUGGCCUGAGAAGAGGAAGCCCCUGAGAGCAUUCAAAGGGUCAAGAGAGGACUAAGGUCCCACAAGUGAGCAGUGGAGGGCAUUCGGAUGCAAUGAUCUUUCAGCCCUAACAUUCUGGAAGUCUGAUUCAAAGAGUCACACCCAGCAAAGGAAAACACAGAGACUAGACGGAAUCAGUGAAGAGGUGGCUGGUCAAAAGCAGCACAUGUAUCGUGUUUUCAAAGCUCAGCAGUGACUCAGGAAGGCAAGACAGGAAGUCCCUUGGGAAUGGUCUGUAAACCAGGGCGAGGGACUAAGAAAAACAGGUAGAUAAGUCCCCAGGAGCCUUAAACAGCCCCCAAAGCAUGAGCUACACAUAUGUCACUAGACUCUGUCAGAACCUUUCAGAGCUGGCCAGGCAUGGUGGCUCACGCCUGUGAUCCCAGCACUUUGGGAAGCUGAGGUGGGAGGAUAGGUUGAACCCAGGAAUUCGAGACCAGCCUGGGCAACAUAGCGAGACCUUGUCUCUACCAAAAAUAAAAUAAAUAAAUAAUUUAAAAAGAGGCCAGGAGUGGUGGCUCACACCUGUAAUCUCAGCACUUUGGGAGGCCCAGGCGGGCGGAUCACCUGAGGUCAGGAGUUACAGACCAGCCUGGCCAACGUGGCGAAACCUCAUUUCUACUAAAAAUACAAAAAUUAGUCAGGCAUGGUGGCAGGCGUCUGUAAUCCCAGCUACUCAGGAGGCUGAGGUGGGAGAAUUGCUUGAACCUGGGAAGCAGAGGUUGCAGUGAGCCGAGAUGGCGCCGCUGCACAGAGCAAGACCCCGUCUCAAAAAAAAAAAAAAAAGUAAUAAAGUAAAAAAUAAAAAGAACCUUCCAGAGUUUCUAGAGGCACUAAGACACUAAAAUGCCAGAGAAAGCCAUUUUACCCCUGAAGAAGCUCAGCACUGGGAAAUGACUGGGCAGAAACGUGGCCCACCUGGCCUGCUCCUAGUCCCCAGGACCGGCCAAACUGAAGUAGGUUUCUUCAGUUUUCUUCAGGUUUCUUCAGUAGGUACCUGCUCAGCCCACAAGCCCAGGGAGUCUCCUGGGUCCUUGGUUCUUCUAUGCAGCCCAGCCUCCUUGUCCAGUUAACUGGGGCAGAAGCAGGUACCUGACUCACAGGCAACCACUCUAGAGGCCAGGCUGGGCCAGUCAGAUUCCUGAACUUUGGAAUUAGGACAAGGAGAGGCCAGACUGUUUGCCACAGGUCCUGGUUGGGUAAGGAAAUGUAGAUUUGCCAAGGAGGGCUGCUUGGGACACGUGUCUGAAAGACAGAAAGGAAAUUGGUGUUUUGAGAGAAGUGGACGGAAAGGUGGGCAUUCCCCCAACACCAGUCCUGAGUGUAAGGUCCUUGUGCGACUUGCCUGCCCUUGAGAUCUGUGAGAUAGUUCUAACGCCUUAUAUUGAAUUACAUUUUUUGCUUAAACUAGCUGGAGUGGGCUUCUAUUUCAUGUAAACAAAUCAAUCACUGAUAUAGUGAAGCCCGUCCUUCAAAGUUUCCCAAAUUAGACUUGGCAAGUCGGCAUAAUGGUAAUGAUGCUAAUGACACCCCUGACAUUUGAUUGGUGUUUUAUAAUUUAAAAGUCCCUAACAUAGGGGUCAUCACUCCAGCCUGGGAUGACUUGCCCCAGACCUACUCAUGCUCCAGACUCUUGGGGAACGGCAUCACUCCUAAAACUCUCAAUGUCUUCAACAAUAAAGUGGGGUUAAUAAAGCCUGUUUUAAGUGGUUGUUGCAAGGUUUGAAUGUGGUAUGCAAAGUGUUUAGCACUUUGGCACACAGUAAAAGUGCUCAGUAUGUGGUAGCCAUAAUAGUGAUUUAUUAUAUAAAGUACCUAGAUGAGGCUAGACACAUAAUCACUAAUCAAAAAUUAUGUAAUAUAAAGUGCUUACUGAUCAGUGCAGAGGGUUUGACUUGACCAGACUUAACAGGAUCACUUGUAAAACAAAGGAGUUUUAGUUGAUCACAAGCUUUAUGUGAGUCAACAGAAACCAUCACAAAGCUAAUGUGAUCUCAGGCCAUAUUAAGAAAAGUUUUAUCUCUAGAAGAUGGGAGAUGUUAGUCAUGUCCACCUCAGUCCCUAUCAGACAACACCUAGUGGUGGGGAGGGGGCGGGCUCUAGGAAGAGGACCUGUGACCUCACAACUUUCUAAGAAAAAUAAAAUUUCUUUCUUGGCAAGUAUGCUUGCACAUAUAGAACUCAAAAAACAUUCCUCUAUUUUUUUUUCCUUUUUCACUUAUGCCUUUGUCUUGGAGUAGUUAGAGAAAGCCACUGCAAUCAAGACAGUGUGGUAUUGGUAUACAGAUGAAUAAAUUUAAAAUGUCUGCCCUUUGGAAGACACAAGAGAAUGCAAAUACAAUCCACAGACUGAGAGAAAAUAUUUGCAAAUGAUUUAUGGUGUGGUUUGGUUUUGUGUCCCUACUCAAAUCUCAUCUCAAAUUCUAAUUCCCACAUGUCAGAGGAAGGGCCUGAUGGGAGGUGAUUGGAUCAUGGGGGUGAAUUUUCCCCUUGGUGUUCUUGUGAUAGUCAGUUCUCAUAAGAUCUGAUGGUUUUAAAGUGUGGUUCUUCCUUCCCUUGCUCUCUCUCUGUCUCUCUCCUGUCACCAUGUAAGAUGUGCCUUGCUUCUCCUUCACCUUCUGCCAUUAUUGUAAGUUUCAUGAGG
This 2915-nucleotide long non-coding RNA is filed under the name Homo sapiens (human). RNAcentral's name for it is "non-protein coding lnc-CITED4-1:3". Lineage: Eukaryota; Metazoa; Chordata; Mammalia; Primates; Hominidae. The record is from RNAcentral.